CAAUAGCGUAUAUUAAAGUUGUUGCAGUUAAAAAGCUCGUAGUUGGAUUUCUGGGCUGGCCGGACGGUCCACCUCACGGUGAGAACUGGCUGGUCGGCCCUUCCUCUCGAAGUGUUGCGGUGUUCUUAACUGAGUGCUGUGGCAAUUCGGGACCUUUACUUUGAAAAAAUUAGAGUGUUCAAAGCAGGCCUUCGCUUGAAUACAUUAGCAUGGAAUAAUAAGAUAGGACCUCGGUGCUAUUUUGUUGGUUUGCGCACAGAGGUAAUGAUGAACAGGGACAGUUGGGGGUAUUUGUAUUUCGUUGUCAGAGGUGAAAUUCUUAGAUUUACGAAAGACAAACUACUGCGAAAGCAUUUACCAAGGAUGUUUUCAUUGAUCAAGAACGAAAGUAUGGGGAUCGAAGACGAUUAGAUACCAU
Molecule: ribosomal RNA, 418 nt
Filed under: uncultured eukaryote
Lineage: Eukaryota
Description: bacterial SSU rRNA
Rfam family: Eukaryotic small subunit ribosomal RNA
Source: RNAcentral